GAUGAACGCUGGCGGCGUGCCUAAUACAUGCAAGUCGAGCGAACGGACGAGAAGCUUGCUUCUCUGAUGUUAGCGGCGGACGGGUGAGUAACACGUGGAUAACCUACCUAUAAGACUGGGAUAACUUCGGGAAACCGGAGCUAAUACCGGAUGAUAUUUUGAACCGCAUGGUUCAAAAGUGAAAGACGGUCUUGCUGUCACUUAUAGAUGGAGCCGCGCUGCAUUAGCUAGUUGGUAAGGUAACGGCUUACCAAGGCAACGAUGCAUAGCCGACCUGAGAGGGUGAUCGGCCACACUGGAACUGAGACACGGUCCAGACUCCUACGGGAGGCAGCAGUAGGGAAUCUUCCGCAAUGGGCGAAAGCCUGACGGAGCAACGCCGCGUGAGUGAUGAAGGUCUUCGGAUCGUAAAACUCUGUUAUUAGGGAAGAACAUAUGUGUAAGUAACUGUGCACAUCUUGACGUUACCUAAUCAGAAAGCCACGGCUAACUACGUG
Molecule: ribosomal RNA, 497 nt
Filed under: uncultured bacterium
Lineage: Bacteria
Description: partial 16S ribosomal RNA
Rfam family: Bacterial small subunit ribosomal RNA
Source: RNAcentral